UACAUUUAACUUUCAUCAGUUUGAUUGUCUGCGAGAUGCUUAUAUUAAUGCAACAUUGUUUUGUCUCUUAUUAUGUGGAACCAAGGCGGCAAAGAAGAGGAAGAAAGUAGAGGCCAAGAUCAAAAAUCCUGAGACAUAUCUCGAUGAUCCAAAGAACAUACACUUUGAGACGAACGUGAAGAAUAGGUUAUACGAGCUGUUGGUUCAUGCACGAUUGGUGAAAGACUAUUGCUUGAGAUUUGGAUGAAUCAUGCACGAUUGUCUAAUUAACUGUUUCUCUUGUUUUAGUAUGAAUCUUGUUUUAAAAUUACAAGAUCUAAUCUUUGAGAUAUGUUGUA
Non-coding RNA from Camelina sativa (false flax), 338 nucleotides. NCBI's taxonomy places the organism in Eukaryota, Viridiplantae, Streptophyta, Magnoliopsida, Brassicales, Brassicaceae. The record is from RefSeq and is a predicted model, not a curated record.